This 411-nucleotide ribosomal RNA is filed under the name Triticum aestivum (bread wheat). Its description in RNAcentral is "partial small subunit ribosomal RNA". Lineage: Eukaryota; Viridiplantae; Streptophyta; Magnoliopsida; Poales; Poaceae. The record is from RNAcentral.
AUGGCCCGCACCAAGCAGACGGCGAGGAAGUCCACCGGCGGCAAGGCGCCGAGGAAGCAGCUGGCCACCAAGGCCGCGCGCAAGUCCGCCCCGGCCACCGGCGGCGUGAAGAAGCCCCACCGCUUUCGCCCCGGCACCGUUGCGCUCCGGGAGAUCCGCAAGUACCAGAAGAGCACGGAGCUGCUCAUCCGCAAGCUCCCCUUCCAGCGCCUCGUCCGCGAGAUCGCCCACGACUUCAAGACCGACCUCCGCUUCCAGUCCUCCGCCGUCUCCGCCCUGCAGGAGGCCGCCGAGGCCUACCUCGUCGGGCUCUUUGAGGACACCAACCUCUGCGCCAUCCACGCCAAGCGCGUCACCAUCAUGCCCAAGGACAUCCAGCUCGCCCGCCGCAUCCGUGGCGAGAGGGCCUAG